CAGGCCUAACACAUGCAAGUCGAGCGGUAUUUGUCUUUCGGGACAGAGAGAGCGGCGUACGGGUGCGGAACACGUGUGCAACCUGCCUUUAUCAGGGGGAUAGCCUUUCGAAAGGAAGAUUAAUACCCCAUAAUAUAAGAGACGGCAUCGUUUUUUAUUGAAAACUCCGGUGGAUAGAGAUGGGCACGCGCAAGAUUAGAUAGUUGGUAGGGUAACGGCCUACCAAGUCAGUGAUCUUUAGGGGGCCUGAGAGGGUGAUCCCCCACACUGGUACUGAGACACGGACCAGACUCCUACGGGAGGCAGCAGUGAGGAAUAUUGGACAAUGGGUUAGCGCCUGAUCCAGCCAUCCCGCGUGAAGGACGACGGCCCUAUGGGUUGUAAACUUCUUUUGUACAGGGAUAAACCUUUCCACGUGUGGGAAGCUGAAGGUACUGUACGAAUAAGCACCGGCUAACUCCGUGCCAGCAGCCGCGGUAAU
This 481-nucleotide ribosomal RNA is filed under the name uncultured bacterium. RNAcentral describes it as "bacterial SSU rRNA". It matches the Rfam family "Bacterial small subunit ribosomal RNA", at positions 43 to 524 of the family's 1533-position model. The record is from RNAcentral.